CCCCACAAGCCACUCUUUCGACCCGCAUCCCAACAAAAACGGACGAUCCCAUCGAACCAAUCGCCGAUUCCCCACCCUCCACGUAACACUAAACACCUUCUCUCUCUCUCUCUGCACUCAUCAAAAGACGACAACGGGUUCUGUGGGGAGGGGCGCAGUUUCUGAGGCCCCCCAUCUCGAUCGUCUCCUGGUCCUCCGUCCGAUGGGCGCCUCCGCGCAUCUCAAAACCCACACCCCCAAACAAUCCCACCAGACGCCCAGCCCCCUCACUUCCAAGCGCCGCAAACGCCGCGACACCGCCGCCGCAGCAGCAGCUGCAGCGGCUCCUCCCCCGUCCUCCCCUGACGUCGUCUCCUCCGACGCCGCCCCCUGGUGCUGCGCCCCACUCUCCUCUCCGCCCCCGCCCACUCCCACUCCUCCACACCGCGCUCUCCCGCUUCCUCCUCCN
RNAcentral lists this long non-coding RNA (448 nucleotides) under Ananas comosus (pineapple). RNAcentral describes it as "long non-coding RNA (ACOM_LNC009955)". Lineage: Eukaryota; Viridiplantae; Streptophyta; Magnoliopsida; Poales; Bromeliaceae. The record is from RNAcentral.